This is a non-coding RNA of Chinchilla lanigera (long-tailed chinchilla), 69 nucleotides long. Lineage: Eukaryota; Metazoa; Chordata; Mammalia; Rodentia; Chinchillidae. The record is from Ensembl.
ACUUUCUUAGUAUAACCAAUACAAUUGACUUCCAAUCAAUAAAUUCUGACUAUGCAACGGAAGAAAGUA